UAGGGAAUCUUCGGCAAUGGGGGCGAACCCUCGACCGAGCAACGCCGCGUGAGUGAAGAAGGGUUUCGGCUCGUAAAGCUCUGUUGUUAAAGAAGAACACGUAUGAGAGUAACUGUUCAUACGUUGACGGUAUUUAACCAGAAAGUCACGGCUAACUACGUGCCAG
RNAcentral lists this ribosomal RNA (166 nucleotides) under uncultured bacterium. Its description in RNAcentral is "partial 16S rRNA". It matches the Rfam family "Bacterial small subunit ribosomal RNA", at positions 355 to 511 of the family's 1533-position model. The record is from RNAcentral.